AUUAACUGGAACAAUCUACGCAACGUUACGCUUGAUCUGCCCUUAGGUGUCAUGACGGUCGUGACCGGCAUUUCCGGAUCCGGUAAAUCCAGCUUAACAGGUCAGGCAUUGGUCAGUAUCGUUUCCAAGGCGCUUGGGCAGAAAGAGCCUGUUGAGCAGCCUGAUGCAGACGAUAACGAUAUUCCAGAAGUUGUGGAAAGCGCUGAACCAGAAGGGCAGGUGGUCAGCGGAUUACAAAAUAUCCGGCGCCUCGUAGUCGUGGAUCAAAAGCCUAUAGGCCGCACACCUCGGUCUAAUUUGGCCACUUAUACGGGGCUGUUUGACCAAAUCAGGCAAGCUUUUGCUGCUGUGCCGCAGGCCAAGAAGCAGAAAAUGGAUGCCGGCUGGUUUUCCUUCAAUGUCGCAAAAGGGCGCUGCCCUCGUUGCGAGGGCGUGGGCUCUAUUGAAGUAGAAUUACUUUUCCUUCCUAGUGUGUAUGCCCCAUGCCCGGAAUGUCAUGGGGCACGCUAUAAACCGGAAGUGCUGGCUAUCAUGCUUAAUGGCCGCAAUAUCGCUGAUGUGUUGAAUAUGAGCGUUGAUGAAGCUCACGAGUUUUUUGCGGAUAGCCCGAACAUUGCGCAUGGGUUUGAUACCUUGCGGCAGGGUGGAUUGGGUUACUUACGUUUAGGCCAACCCGCCACAACGCUCUCUGGUGGAGAGGCGCAGCGUAUCAAGCUGGCAACGGAACUUCAGAAAAAGCGGGCAGGGCAUAUCUUAUAUGUUCUGGAUGAGCCCACAACCGGCCUGCAUCCCGCAGAUGUAGAUCGGCUAACACGUCAAUUGCGGCAGCUUGUUGCGCAAGGGCAUACGGUUGUGUUGGCUGAACACGAUAUGCGUCUUGCAGCACAGAGUGACUGGAUGCUGGAUAUGGGCCCGGGGGCAGGGGAUGAAGGCGGCCAGAUUGUUGCCAGUGGCAUACCCGCAGAUAUUGCCAAAAAUCCAGCAAGCCGUACGGGGCCUUUUCUGCGUGAAUAUCUAUAAAAACCUGAGAAUAUGAAUUUUUUCUGAUUUUGGGUGUUGACGGUGUAAUGGGAUGGGGUGUAGAAGCUGCUUCACCGAGACGGAGUGGUCUUGGCGGGUUUAGAAAGAUCUGCUAGGUUAUUCGGCUCUUUUGGUCUUUGACAAGAGAAUAUGAUAGAGAGGGAUAUGCUGACGGCGUGUCUUUCUGAUCUAGGCUUCGGUUUAGGUUGGGGGAAUUGAUAGGUUUUUAGGAACCUUUUGGACGUUUUGUUGGUAUAUCUUUUGAUAUGCGUUUUGACAGAUGUUUCGAAUUAGCUGGCCUUUUGGUGAGUUAAUUUAUUGAGAAGGGUCCUUAGUUUGUUGUGCUGCUUUGGUGGCAUGAUGAACCUGAGAGUUUGAUCCUGGCUCAGAGCGAACGCUGGCGGCAUGCUUAACACAUGC
Molecule: ribosomal RNA, 1440 nt
Filed under: Acetobacter pasteurianus IFO 3283-01
Lineage: Bacteria; Pseudomonadati; Pseudomonadota; Alphaproteobacteria; Acetobacterales; Acetobacteraceae
Description: 16S rRNA of rrnE operon
Source: RNAcentral